UAGUCAUAUGCUUGUCCCAAAGAUUAAGCCAUGCAUGUCUAAGUAUAAACAAUUUUUUACAGUGAAACUGCGAAUGGCUCAUUAUAUCAGUUAUAAUUUAUUUGAUAGUCUCUUUACUACUCGGAUAACCGUGGUAAUUCUAGAGCUAAUACGUGCUUAUAGCCUGACUGCUUGCGGAAGGGCUGCAUUUAUUAGAUAAAAAACCAAUGCCAGCAAUGGCCACUGGUGAUUCAUAAUAACUGUGCGGAUCGUAUGGCCUUGCGCCGACGACGUUUCAU
Molecule: ribosomal RNA, 278 nt
Filed under: uncultured eukaryote
Lineage: Eukaryota
Description: partial 18S ribosomal RNA
Rfam family: Eukaryotic small subunit ribosomal RNA
Source: RNAcentral